RNAcentral lists this ribosomal RNA (486 nucleotides) under uncultured bacterium. RNAcentral describes it as "partial 16S ribosomal RNA". It matches the Rfam family "Bacterial small subunit ribosomal RNA", at positions 29 to 507 of the family's 1533-position model. The record is from RNAcentral.
AUUGAACGCUGGCGGCAUGCCUUACACAUGCAAGUCGAACGGCAGCACGGGUGCUUGCACCUGGUGGCGAGUGGCGAACGGGUGAGUAAUACAUCGGAACAUGUCCUGUAGUGGGGGAUAGCCCGGCGAAAGCCGGAUUAAUACCGCAUACGAUCUACGGAUGAAAGCGGGGGACCUUCGGGCCUCGCGCUAUAGGGUUGGCCGAUGGCUGAUUAGCUAGUUGGUGGGGUAAAGGCCUACCAAGGCGACGAUCAGUAGCUGGUCUGAGAGGACGACCAGCCACCGUGGGACGGAGACACGGCCCAGACCCCGACGGGAGGCAGCAGGGGGGAUUUUUGGAAAAGGGGCGAAAGCCUGCUCCAGCAAUGCCGCGUGUGGGAAGAAGGCCUUCGGUUUUUAAAGCACUUUUGUCGGGAAGGAAGCCUUGGCCCCUAAUACGGUGGGGGGUUGACGGUACCGAAAAAAUAAGCCCCGGCUAACUGCGUG